Mytilus californianus (California mussel) is the source of this 610-nucleotide long non-coding RNA. RefSeq lists it as uncharacterized. The record is from RefSeq and is a predicted model, not a curated record. The transcript has 4 exons. NCBI's taxonomy places the organism in Eukaryota, Metazoa, Mollusca, Bivalvia, Mytilida, Mytilidae.
GGGUGUGGUUCGGCUUAUUUUUUUUUUUAAUCAGGUCCAAAGUUGGGGUCGGACACCCUACCCCACCCAUACGGAAAAGUUAAUAAAAAAUUCCCUACGGCAAUACUUUUUUCCGCACUAGGUGCAAAGUGAAGCUGAGUAGCUGAGGUUUACUUCAGAAAAAAUCCAGGGUGUGGUUCGGCUUAGUUUUUUUUUUAAUCAGGUCCAAAGUUGGGGUCGGACACCCUACCCCACCCAUACGGAAAAGUUAAUAAAAAAUUCCCUACGGCAAUACUUUUUUCCGCACUAGGUGCAAAGUAAAGCUGAGUAGCUGAGGUUUACUUCAGAAAAAAUCCAGGGUGUGGUUCGGCUUAGUUUUUUUUUUAAUCAGGUCCAAAGUUGGGGUCGGACACCCUACCCCACCCAUACGGAAAAGUUAAUAAAAAAUUCCCUACGGCAAUACUUUUUUCCGCACUAGGUGCAAAGUGAAGCUGAGUAGCUGAGGUUUACUUCAGAAAAAAUCCAGGGUGUGGUUCGGUUUAGUUUUUUUUUUAAUCAGGUCCAAAGUUGGGAUCGGACACCCUACCCCACCCAUACGGAAAAGUUAAUAAAACAUUCCCUACGGCAAUAC